This 869-nucleotide long non-coding RNA is filed under the name Zalophus californianus (California sea lion). Its description in RNAcentral is "lncRNA (ENSZCAG00015002769.1)". The record is from RNAcentral. Lineage: Eukaryota; Metazoa; Chordata; Mammalia; Carnivora; Otariidae.
CAGAAGGACUAAUUUUGUUUUCAUCUCAAUCUUGAAUACCUAGCACAAUUACUGUAUCGGUGCUGAAUAAAGGUUUGCCAAAUAAUUUUAUUUUGAAUCCUUGAACGGACGCUUAGCAGUCCAUAGUUGAUUUCUGGGCAUGCAACUCUUUAUGUCUGUAUUAAGAAUGAUAUAUUAUGUGUUUUAUGAAUUUGUAUUUCUGUAUUAAGAGAUAAGAACUCACGUCAAAGUUGUACCAUUGUGAGAAACAAAUAGGAAAGGACAGCCUUAGGCAAUUUUGCAAGAGCCUAUUUUUCCAUUUAAAGUAAACAGCAGAUGUUUUGGGAGGGAAGAUGCCCUUUUCAAUCCUGGGCAUUUUCACAACCAACCAGUGAGAUGAGUGUUGGUACCACUGUUUACAGAGAACAGAACUCUAUGAUUCUGUCACUUGCUAGUGAGCAGGCCUAGCAGAGAGAGGACUAGGUUCAUGGUCCAAGUAAGGAGCUAGUACACAAAGUACUCUCGGUUCUUGCUCAGAGAGGAAAUCCACUCUCAUGGGUCAACCACUUGCAAAGAGCACCUGCUGCUUCGGGAGGCUAACGGGAGUUGUGUUUCUAGUCACACUGUUACCAGGACUCCCUGGAGUCCUCCGCAGCCUUGCAAGGCGCGCCUCUGCCCAUCCCGAGCGUCACUGCGCCUGCGCACAUCAUCCCUAUGACAUCACGGCCUGGGGCCGCGACUGCGUCCGCGCACGUCAUCUUCAUGAUGUCGGGGCCUCCCUGGCCUUCAGUGGCGAUUGCGUAUGCGCCCGGAGCAGCUGGCGGAACAGGUCCUCGGGCGGCGGCUUCCGGUUUGGUGACCGCACCUGCGGCUCCGCUUCUGUUAAACCA